Molecule: ribosomal RNA, 868 nt
Filed under: Venturia canescens
Lineage: Eukaryota; Metazoa; Arthropoda; Insecta; Hymenoptera; Ichneumonidae
Description: 16S ribosomal RNA
Rfam family: Archaeal large subunit ribosomal RNA (bases 627-786)
Source: RNAcentral
UAUAAAAUAAUAUAAUUGAAAAUUUUAAUUUAUAAAAAAAAUGUUAUACUUUAUUUUUAUGAUUUAUAUAUUUAAAAUUUUGUUUAAAUUUUUAUUAAAAUAAUUUUUGAAAUUUUUUAUAAAUUUAAAUAAUAAUAAAAUUAGUAUAUAAAUUAAAUUAAAAAAUUAAAUUUAAUUUUAAUUAAAUUUGAAUAAUUUGGCAAAAUUAUUUUAAUUAAUAUUUUAUUCACCUGUUUAUCAAAAACAUGGUUUUUUGUAAAAAAUAAAAAAUUUAACCUGCUCAAUGAUUAUUUAAAUAGCUGCAGUAUAUUGACUGUACAAAGGUAGCAUAAUCAAUAGUUUUUUAAUUAAAAGCUGGAAUGAAAGGUUUGAUGAAAUAAAAUCUUUUUUAAAUUUAAAAAUAAAAUUUUUUUAUUAGUAAAAAAGCUAAUAUAAUUUUAAAAGACGAGAAGACCCUAUAGAAUUUUAUAAAUAUUUAAUUAAAUUUAAUUUAAAAUAAUAAUUUUAUUUAAAAAUUAUUUGGUUGGGGUGAUUAUUAAAAGUUAAAAAACUUUAAAAUUAAUUAAAACAAUAAUUAUUGAAAAUUUGAUCUUAAAUUUUAAAUUAUAAGAAUAAAUUACCUUAGGGAUAACAGAGUAAUUUUUUUGGAAAGUUCAUAUUGAUAAAAAAGAUUGCUACCUCGAUGUUGAAUUAAGAUAAAAUUUAAAAGUAGAAAUUUAAAAUUUUUGGUCUGUUCGACCAUUAAAAUCUUACAUGAUUUGAGUUCAGAUCGGUGUGAGCCAGAUCGGUUUCUAUCUUUAAGAAAAAUUAAAAUUAUUGUACGAAAGGACUUAGUUUUAUAAAUAAUUUAUUAUUAAGGAAUAAAUUU